This 497-nucleotide ribosomal RNA is filed under the name uncultured bacterium. Its description in RNAcentral is "partial 16S ribosomal RNA". It matches the Rfam family "Bacterial small subunit ribosomal RNA", at positions 28 to 507 of the family's 1533-position model. The record is from RNAcentral.
GAUGAACGCUGGCGGCGUGCCUAAUACAUGCAAGUCGAGCGAACGGACGAGAAGCUUGCUUCUCUGAUGUUAGCGGCGGACGGGUGAGUAACACGUGGAUAACCUACCUAUAAGACUGGGAUAACUUCGGGAAACCGGAGCUAAUACCGGAUGAUAUUUUGAACCGCAUGGUUCAAAAGUGAAAGACGGUCUUUCUGUCACUUAUAGCUGGAUCCGCGCUGCAUUAGCUAGUUGGUAAGGUAACGGCUUACCAAGGCAACGAUGCAUAGCCGACCUGAGAGGGUGAUCGGACACACGGGAACUGAGAAACGGUCCAGACUCCGACGGGAGGAAGCAGUAGGGAAUCUUCCGCAAUGGGCGAAAGCCUGACGGAGCAACGCCGCGGGAGUGAUGAAGGUCUUCGGAUCGUAAAACUCUGUUAUUAGGGAAGAACAUAUGUGUAAGUAACUGUGCACAUCUUGACGGUACCUAAUCAGAAAGCCACGGCUAACUACGUG